Molecule: small RNA, 101 nt
Filed under: Epilithonimonas xixisoli
Lineage: Bacteria; Pseudomonadati; Bacteroidota; Flavobacteriia; Flavobacteriales; Weeksellaceae
Description: Chryseobacterium xixisoli Flavo-1 RNA
Rfam family: Flavo-1 RNA
Source: RNAcentral
CCGCAAUAGGGAUAGUAGUGGAAAUCCUUUUUAUAGAGAUUUGCCAAGGGAAAGAUGAGGCGAUCUCUAUAAAAAGAUUGUAGCGGAUAGCCCGACCCGCA